AGAAACAGAAGCAGUGGCAGCCAUGCAGAGCCUGCUUCCCUUUCCACCGCUGUGACAUGCCCAGGGCAUGGGAAACCCCCCGCCUUUGUCAACACACAAAGGGAAGUGACGCCGGCUGCUCCAACAGGGAGAACAAGGGUUCCAGAAGGAUGGUCCUUCAGGAGGAAGGAGCACGCAAAGUCCCCAAAACAAGUACAAGUUGCAGAACUUGAGGCUGGAGAGAUGGCUCGGUGGUUACGAGCACUUGCUGCUCUUCCAGAGGACCCGAGAUCAAUCCACAGCACCCACACAUCAGGAGGUUCGCCAUAGCUCAGAACUCCAACUCCAGGCAACCAGAUGCUUUCUUCUGGCCUCUGAGGAUAUCUGCACUAAGCCCAGGCCACCAUGUUCAGGCUCCAUGAAGCCAGAGAGUCCUACCCACUAUCUUGCCAUCUCCUUGCCACUCCAUCUCAGAACUCAUCAGGGUCUCACUAUGUAGCGCUGGAUAACCUUGAAUCCACACAGAUGCACCCACCUGUGCCUCCUGAGUGCUGGGAUUAAAGGUGUGCAUGCUACCAUGCCCAACCAGAACAACUCUUGAGCCAUCGAUAGGAGCUGCAGUUUUCUAAAGGGUGUGUGUGGGAGUGCCAACACUAGGGGGUGCCAGAGGCCGCUGCUGCUCUGGGGAGGUUCCAGGGCCAAGUGGCGUAUAGACUCCAGGCCAAGCUUGUGGCUAUAGCUAAGGGGCUGACUGCUUUACUGGCAUUUCGGGUGUUAGAAAAGGAU
Peromyscus eremicus (cactus mouse) is the source of this 765-nucleotide long non-coding RNA. RefSeq lists it as uncharacterized. The transcript is spliced from 4 exons. NCBI's taxonomy places the organism in Eukaryota, Metazoa, Chordata, Mammalia, Rodentia, Cricetidae. The record is from RefSeq and is a predicted model, not a curated record.